UGGUGUGGUGGUGAUGGUGAGCUUUGCCUCUAAUGCCAGCACAAAGGAGGUCAAAGGCAGAAGGAUCAAAAAGUCAAGAUUAUCCUUGGCUACAUGAAGAGAUGGUGGCAAGCCUAAACAUAAAUUUAUUUUUUUAUUUUUUUUAUUUUUUUGGUUUUUCGAGACAGGGUUUCUCUGUGUAGCCCUGGCUGUCCUGGAACUCACUUUGUAGACCAGGCUGGCCUCGAACUCCGAAAUUCACCUGCCUCUGCCUCCCAAGUGCUGGGAUUAAAGAUGUGCGCCACCAUGCUUCUGUCUCAACACAGAACCAAAAAAAAAAAAAAAAAAAAAAAAAAGCCACAUAGUAUGUUAAUACCACCUCUUCAGGGAUUGAAGGAGGCCUAGGCCUAGUACUCUGCAACACAAAUACUAUAAUGAGACAGCUGGCUGUAUGGUGAAGGUAAAUCUGUCAUUUCCAUUUCUUUUUAAACUCAUGGGUGUUUGGUUCUUUGGACUAUCAUAUUGUCACUGUUAUUGUAUUUUAUAUUGUAGUUAUCACACCAUUGCAUAUGUCUACACCACUGGUCAGGUGGUAUCUUUAGGCCGUGGACCAAGUCACACAAGCAACCCAACUCAUCAGGAGGCCCCCGCAGAGAACUCUGAUAUUACCUGCCUGCUAGCUGCAGAGGGUAUGAAUAUUUCCACUAGCUCGUGACUGAUUGACUGAAAGAGACAUCGCAUUCAGUCUUCUUUCACAGGAUCCCACUGAACUAUGAUUUUGGUUCUUAGUGCUUUCAAUUUAAACUGCUGAAUCUUUUUCCUGGAGUAAUAGGUAAUCAUUUCUAAAGAUUUAAGUGAUUCAAAAGACAUCAAAUUAGUUAAUUAUAUAAACAACAUGGUUUGCUACAUUCAAGCAAAUAGUUAAGUAAGUUAACCCUGAUUCGUUUUGCAAGGGCCUAGACAACUAUAAAUGUUUAUUGAAUGAAUAAAUAAUAUUUGAUCUGGUCAAAAUUAAUUCUUAUGCCAUUUGUAGUCAGAAUUUAGGAGAGUAUACAUUUCUAACAAAUGAAUAAAUUUAACUUAAUUAUAUAUAGGUUUAUUUUUCCCCAGUAAAACUUUGAACGUGGAUCUCUUAAUUUUAUAGACCUUGUGGAUAUUGAAGUCAAAGACAUUUUUGCUGGAGCACACGCCAACUUUGUGACAACUCGUCGGGUAUCAGUAUGUGUUAUUCCUUUUUAGACUUAUUUUUCCCUCUAGAUUUCAGGAAUUCUUACUUUCCUGGUGCUGGGGACUCAAACCCAGAGCCUUGUGUAUGCUAGGUAAGCACUUUCUUCUGAGCUGUACCCACCAUUCCCUAAAUUUCAGAGUAUUGUUUGAGACAGUAUAUUAUUCAUUUUCAGAUCUCUUACUAAUGUGUUCCUCUAUUAAAAUGGUAGAAAUGUCAACAAGACCUUGUCUCCAAAAACGAACUGAGGGCUGGGGCUGUAGCUCAGUGCGAGAGUACUUGUCUUGAGUGCAAAAUCAAGAACCCUGAAUUUCAUCUCGAAAUGGGGAUGGCAGGAGAAAGAUGUGGGCAAUGAGGGGCAGGCUUAAGACAAAAGAAGAGAGGGAAGAUGGGGCAGGGGAGAUGCCUGAGACAGAGGGGAAGAAGAGGUACAAAAUCAGGCUACCGUGCACAGUUGGGAAAGCAGGGGAGGAACCAAAUAAAAAGAUGUGAAAGAAUGGUUUCUUAUUUGGGAACUUGGAGGCAGCUUUUUCCAGAGAAGCAUCUCUGCAGGAAAGUCAAGACAGACAAGCACAGAGCUUAAUUUUAACAGAGAGCAAUAAACCCUGGUGUGGGGUCAAUGCAAG
This 1830-nucleotide long non-coding RNA is filed under the name Mus musculus (house mouse). RNAcentral describes it as "long non-coding RNA chr6:57606510-57608340". The record is from RNAcentral. Lineage: Eukaryota; Metazoa; Chordata; Mammalia; Rodentia; Muridae.